RNAcentral lists this ribosomal RNA (272 nucleotides) under uncultured soil bacterium. Its description in RNAcentral is "partial 16S ribosomal RNA". It matches the Rfam family "Bacterial small subunit ribosomal RNA", at positions 26 to 282 of the family's 1533-position model. The record is from RNAcentral.
AGAAUCAACGCUGGCGGCGUGCCUCAGACAUGCAAGUCGAACGCGAAAGCCCCCUUCGGGGGCAAGUAGAGUGGCGCACGGGUGAGUAACACGUAGGUAAUCUACCUUCGGAUGGGGAAUAACAAUCGGAAACGGUUGCUAAUACCGCAUAAUGCAGCGGCACCUAAUGGUGACAGUUGUUAAAGCGGGGGAUCGAAAGACCUCGCGUCUGAAGAGGAGCCUGCGGCGGAUUAGCUAGUUGGUAAGGUAAUGGCUUACCAAGGCUACGAUCC